Molecule: transfer RNA, 77 nt
Filed under: Acholeplasmataceae bacterium
Lineage: Bacteria; Bacillati; Mycoplasmatota; Mollicutes; Acholeplasmatales; Acholeplasmataceae
Also listed under: 1 other name
Description: tRNA-Arg
Rfam family: tRNA
About the family: Transfer RNA (tRNA) molecules are approximately 80 nucleotides in length. Their secondary structure includes four short double-helical elements and three loops (D, anti-codon, and T loops).
Source: RNAcentral
GCGCCUGUGGCCUAAUUGGAUAGGGCAUCUGACUUCGGAUCAGACGGUUACGGGUUCGAAUCCUGUCGGGCGCGCCA